UAGGUUCUCUGUUCAUGGAAACUGAAGUUUGUAAGAGUUUAAGGCCAAACGUAAGAGGUCAUACUCCCUGUCACAAACUCCAGCUGAACUAACUUGGAGGAGGAUCUUCCCUGACAGCUCUGGAAGGAAAUUGACAGAACUUUCGUAAAGCCAAAGACUGGCAGAAAUAAAGUAAAUAAUGAUGAAACUGAGCAAUAGAGCACCCAGAAGGAGUGUCCCCUGCCAAAAAGAAUGUGGCAUUUCACCCUCCAAGAAACAAAUGGACACCUUAUCCCACAGAAGAAUGGGGCUCACAUGUCACCGUCACUCACUUCUUUAUCCUUUCGCCAAAGGAAGCCACUUCAUCUAGGAUGUUCUGG
This 359-nucleotide long non-coding RNA is filed under the name Pan troglodytes (chimpanzee). RNAcentral describes it as "long non-coding RNA NONPTRT013997". The record is from RNAcentral. Lineage: Eukaryota; Metazoa; Chordata; Mammalia; Primates; Hominidae.